This 54-nucleotide transfer RNA is filed under the name Riccardoella tokyoensis. RNAcentral describes it as "tRNA-Ser". The record is from RNAcentral. Lineage: Eukaryota; Metazoa; Arthropoda; Arachnida; Trombidiformes; Ereynetidae.
AAAGAAUAAAUAAAUAGCUUCUAACUAUAUAAAUAUUAUUAUAAUAAUUCUUUU